This is a long non-coding RNA of Bubalus bubalis (water buffalo), 2133 nucleotides long. RefSeq lists it as uncharacterized. NCBI's taxonomy places the organism in Eukaryota, Metazoa, Chordata, Mammalia, Artiodactyla, Bovidae. The record is from RefSeq and is a predicted model, not a curated record. The transcript has 2 exons.
CCUAGCGCUGGCCAGAGCCCUCUCGGUCUUGUUGGGGGGUCACGUGGGGAGGGUGGGGCAGACAGGGCUUCUAGGUGUAGGACUGUCUUCUUACUAGAUCCUCGUUCCCUGAAUGCCAGAAUGGAAAGCCACCCGGAGAGGACACUCUCCGCAAUCCUCAGGCCUCCCCCAGCCCCAAGGUCUCCUGGCACAAGUGCUUCCUACUUAGUGCCUUUGAGAAGUCAUUUCACUUCAUGACACAGUUUGCUUAUCUACAAGUAGGGGCUAAAGAUGAGGAGGGCCUCCUCCUCCCGGGAAUGUUGUGAGGACUGUUAAGUUUAGCAGAUAAGAGGAGGUGACAUCAUUAAUUGAGUGCCCCAGUGUGCCAAGCCGUGUGCUGAGUAGGGUCCUUGGGAGGAGCACAGCCCUGUCCCUGGGGUGCUCAUACAGGGUGAUUCCGGCUACUGUAGGGGACAGACUGAAAGUGUUCUGGGGGUGGGGAGGUGACUGGCGACACCCAGGGCAAUUUGAUGGUUUGAGCUGGGUCCCGGGGACUCAUAGGGAACAUAGAACCUUCCAUAGAGUGUGGAAGGUUUCUAAGGUGGGUGUCUGAACUUGGAGGCUUAUAUUUGCCCUACAAAGGAUUUGUGGCAGGGAGAGGGGACACCAAAAUAUUUAAUGGAAAGAGCCCAGUGAGCACAAGUGCAGUUCAAGGACAACUAGAGGCAUGGAGGAGAGAUGGAAGUAGGACCCGGGUCCUGGGGUCGUCUGGGCAAGGGAAUUGAGGUCCCCUGAGCGGCUUGGCCAAAGUCAGGCAGUGAGAAAGGGGCGAGCCAUGACCUGUCCCCAGGCCUCAGAUUCCAAGCUGAUGCUUGGGUUUCUCCACCAUGUGGUCAACAAGGAAAGUGAGGCUCCCCAGGCUGGCCCUGAGUCACAUAUAGGAGUUAGUAGUGCCGCAGUGCAAGCCUGGACCUCAUUUUGAAUUCUGGACCCCAAGACCCUGUAUCUCUCCUGUACCAUCAUUAAGAGAUGCUACUACAGGUGGGAAAAAUGUGGCUUUGAGAAAGCGGGACCAUGUAGUAGGAGGAUGGGCAGGGGCGUUGGUGGGAGAUAUGGGUGUCUGCAGGGGACGUGGCCUCCUGGGUGGUGGGUUGGGAGGAAGGCAGCUGGGGGCUGGGAGAGGACCUGCCUCCACAGGGCCCUUGCUCCACACCCAGGCUGGUGCUCAGUGCUGGAGACCCGUCUCUGCCCCUCCUCCUUUCCUUAGAGCCAUGUGGCUUCUCGGGGAUCAGUUGUCCUCUGCCUGCCGCCCGUAGGUGGCUGUUGCAAUGUGGACUAGUGCUUAGUGGUGGAGAUUAAGAGAUUAAGUCGGGACCCAGGACAUCUGGAACCAAGUCACCAAGUACCCUGAACCCACGAUGUCUCAUUGAUGUGGAGUGGUCAGGAGCUCUGGGCAGUGUGCAGGGCACCUCUGACACAGAGACUUGGAAUGGGGCCCUGGGCCUGCGCCCCAGCAUGAGGACAUGUCCCCUAAGAAGACCUACCUCGGGAGGUGAAGGCAGAGGGUCCGAUGGAGCCUGGAAUUGGAGACAGACUUUGUGCCUUGGCGGAAAAUCUCCCCGGGAUUGCUGGGAGUUACAGCCAGAGAAGAGGUGGUCCUGGCUGCCCAGCCUCUCCUGUGGUAGCAGCGAUGGUGCGUGUGUGGGGAACCCACUUCUGUGCUCCCGCCUGGCCCACCAGAGACAGGAAGGCAGCUGCUGGGGAGGACGCAGUGAGUGGAAGCAGACACCCGGCUCCAGAGGCAAGACCAGCCCCCCAGGGAUGAACACGUCUGCAGGCUUCCCUCUCCUUUCAGGGCAGUGGUUUCUUCACACUUUUGGGCUCACGAAGCCCUCUGGCAAGAUGGCAAAGGUUACGAACCUUCUCCCCAGGAGGACGCACACACUCACGGGGACGCAGAAUCUACGAGGGAUUCCAGGAGCUCCGGGACUCCAGGCUGAGAUCCCCGGGCCCUGGGGCUAGCCUGCCGCUCCUUCCUGAGCUGACACAGAGUCCUGGGUCAGGAUCUUCGUUCAAGCCACAUUUCGUUUCCCCCAUUUCCAGGCCCAUCGACCUUCCUUCCCUUUUCAGGAAUAAAGAAUUCUGAGGAGGGGC